AGUAAGAUCAGCUAAUUAAGCUUUCGGGCCCAUACCCCGAGAAUGAAGGUUAAACCCCUUCCUUUACUA
RNAcentral lists this transfer RNA (69 nucleotides) under Brachionichthys hirsutus. RNAcentral's name for it is "tRNA-Met". It matches the Rfam family "tRNA". Rfam says of the family: Transfer RNA (tRNA) molecules are approximately 80 nucleotides in length. Their secondary structure includes four short double-helical elements and three loops (D, anti-codon, and T loops). The record is from RNAcentral. Lineage: Eukaryota; Metazoa; Chordata; Actinopteri; Lophiiformes; Brachionichthyidae.